ACGAGGGAGUGUGUGGGGUGCAGAUGCCGCACAGGCACUUUGGCGAGGAGCAGCACAACAAACUCGGCUACACGCGCUCCGUCUCUCUUCCGUCGUUCCACACCACAUCCUUUUGCGCGGGUGCGAACCUGAAUAGGUCUCAGUGCUGGAAGCGCAAGCGUCUGUGUGCGGCACAGAGAGAGAGGAAGGAGUCGUGCGGCUCCUUUUUCUAAGCAAAACAACAAGCGAUCCACUUCCACUGUGCUGGAGGACUGAACGAACUCCACCUCGCGCACGAACGGCUAUUGCCAACAUGCUGCUGUCGACGACACUGAUGUGCUUUAGGCCCAGGGGGACGCGUGGCGCCGGAUUUUGUUCGCUGCGCCGUCGACUGCGGCGUCUUCGUCAGACAAACCGCGCAGCUAUGGAGCAGUUGCAGGAGCGCCGGCGUCUCCAGCAUCUUCUGCGAGAGGAGCAGCGCAGCGCCAGCGCUACGAGUAGCAGCAGCGGCGGUGCGUCAGCACCGGGAGUGGCAGCUGCGCAGCUGCGUGCUCUUGAGCUACUGCCCCGCAACGACGCUCUCGAGGCUGCUAUUGCGCUGUGCAUCAGCGAGAAUCGAGAUGCCCGGACAGAUCUGGAGUUGGUCCGGCAUCUGGUGAACAGCACCUUGCUUUCCUUUGCGUCCCCGGUCUGCAGGCGGUGGGACCCGUACGACGUGAAGCCGCAGGUAUUUGCUCUGGACAACUACAUAGCGCUGCCCGUCUUCACAUCGCUCGAAUACUUGCGGCUGUUCUGCCAGCGAUUCGGGUUUGCGGUACGCGACCCAAGUGGGGUGCUGUGGGCAUCCGGCUCAAGCACCACAGCCUCUGCUGGUGGUCAAGCGCCUAUCAUGGGUCUGCUGCCCGACACGCUGCUCCAGAGUGAGUGGUGGCAGCAGCGGCACGCGCAGCAGGAGGCGCGGCCCCCUACCGAGGUGACCAUGCAGGAAAGGGACGAUGCCCCCGACGGUUUGGCAUCCCAGGGGGGUCAGCCAGCUCAAGAAAGGGAAGCCAAGGCUGUGCCGGAAGACGGCACAGAAGCACACAUGCCUGGCAGCGCAUGUGUGGCACUGAAGGCGGCAGAGCUCACCGUCCCUAAUUUUGCUCCUGGCAGCGACGCAGCACAAGCAGCGCCUCCCACACCGCUUGAUGGCACACCCAUCAACGCAGAUGCGCUGUUCGACACGAUGUUGAUGGACGGCCUUGUGGAGAAGGAGCUUGACACAUCGAGUGCGCCUAGUGAGAGGCGUCGAGUUGCACCAGCGAAGAAGGCGGUACGCACUCGUGCACGUAAGCGCUCACAUGGUUCCGCAAGUAAGGUGCGGGGCAUUAGACGCAGGGUAGCGUCAUCCAGUCACCAUCGCGUCCUCCGCGAACGGCAUACCGGGCGGCGUCAGAGGACAGCUGGAGCAGCGACGGCAGCCGCGUCGCGUGAGGAGAGCGUAGCGGGCGCGGCGUCCGCGAAGGCGGCGGCGGACGAGGCGAAGGCGGCCUACUGGGAAUCCGUCUCCCAGACCUCACCUUUCCAACUAAAGCAAGCAACUCCUCUCCCCACGUUCGGGCCUUUCCUGCACCCGUUCCUGAUUGGCUACUUUGCAGAUGUCUCCACACUGCUGCACAACGCCUCCAUCGUGCCGGAGAAAGUGGACAUCGUGCUGAAUCCAGCUUCUCCCUUGGAGUUUGUGCUGUCGAGGGCGGCGACGGACCGCGUGCUGCACAAAGAGCAGCUUCUCCAUCAGGCUUACCUUAAGGUCGAGAAGGAGCUGCAGCGCGAGUUCAGCGCUUUCUUCGCCGCCUGCUGCCCAGAAGUCAUCUCCGCCUCCAGCGCGUGUGUGCCAUUACCCAUGAACGCGGACGAAGUGGACGCGGCAUGGCAGGCCUCUCAGCGCCCCGUUAACAUCGGCCGCCGAAGUUGCAAAUCGGCUGCCUCGUCGCCGAACGAGCUGCAGGCCUACCGGGAACGGACGCGGCUGCUUCGCGAGGCGGAGUACCGCAACGGUGUCACCUACGAGCUUGUUCUUCUCAUUCAGAGCACGUCGCUCGAGGAGACCUUCACCAAGAUCCAGCAGGCAAAGCAUCAGUCGGCGCUGAUGGGCCACGCGAAUCUGGAUGUGCUGCCCGAGAUUGCCGCCGCUCCACAUGUGCGCGAGAUGGCGCACCACUUUUACGACGGCGCCAGCGAGCAGGAGAAGAGGUUGAUGCAGCGGGCGAUCGCCGCACAGCAUGAGCGGAGCUUGGGCGGCAAGAGUCUUGGCGAUGGCGCUGCCGAGAGUGACAGCGUGGCAGCCGCACUGGUUUCCGGGCACAUGGGUGUGUUUGUGCGGCGAGGGGAACCUCGCACCAUUAAUGUGGCUCAGUCGGCUGACUCAUACUUCCACGUCCCCACCAACGCCUACACGGAGGCGCACGCGGUCUUUACGGAGGACCUCAAGGUGAAUCGCGGACAGUGACCGGGAAGGAGAGCGAGAGAGGGGCCAUGCCGCCAGGAGAGGAGUUCCACUCCAACACUCCUGCGCGGCCACCUCUCCGACGGCCUUGAUGGUCCUGGCGGGCGUCACUGUUUUCUUCGCUUGCUUGCUUGCCUCGUGUCUUCUCGUUGUUCGCAGCAAUCGGUGGGGCCUCAGUAAAACCACGCUGCCCUCAUUCACGUGGAUCGGCACACAUGGACGCACGUACACACAGCACUUGACCGUGAGCUGUCACGUCCGGGAGAGAUGCCCGCUGAUGGUGACGCUGACAACACGAGGUCUCGGUACGGUCUGCAAAGCAAGGAGGGAGGGAGGGAGGGGAGGGCGCACGAGACCAUGUGCUGUCGUCAGGCUGAACUUCUUUGGUGGCAUGUCUCGGAGAUGCUCAAAUCUACUUAUUUUCUUUUUCUUUCGCGCAUGUUCGGCGUAUCUACGCGAUGCGCACUUGCGCUUCACCCCUCCACCAUCUCUGCGCUCAAGGCCCUCUUCGUGAGAGCAUGCAUGCGACCUUGCACGCCCUCGUACUUUUCUGUACCCACGUUGCCUCCUCUCUGCGCAGCGGACAGGCAACGCUUCAUCCUUCUCUCCCAUUGCAUUUUUCUCAUCCUUCACAUUUCCCCUCUGCAG
Molecule: unclassified non-coding RNA, 3112 nt
Filed under: Leishmania donovani
Lineage: Eukaryota; Euglenozoa; Kinetoplastea; Trypanosomatida; Trypanosomatidae
Description: gene:LdHU3.29.1540(CDS-product:hypothetical_prote in_conserved)
Source: RNAcentral